This 440-nucleotide ribosomal RNA is filed under the name uncultured bacterium. Its description in RNAcentral is "partial 16S ribosomal RNA". It matches the Rfam family "Bacterial small subunit ribosomal RNA", at positions 338 to 795 of the family's 1533-position model. The record is from RNAcentral.
CCUACGGGGGGCAGCAGUGGGGAAUAUUGCACAAUGGGGGAAACCCUGAUGCAGCGACGCCGCGUGAGUGAAGAAGUAUUUCGGUAUGUAAAGCUCUAUCAGCAGGGAAGAAAAUGACGGUACCUGACUAUGAAGCCCCGGCUAACUACGUGCCAGCAGCCGCGGUAAUACGUAGGGGGCAAGCGUUAUCCGGAUUUACGGGGUGUAAAGGGAGCGUAGACGGCAGAGCAAGUCUGGAGUGAAAGCCGGGGGCUCAACCCAGGAACUGCUUUGGAAACUGUGCAGCUGGAGUGCAGGAGAGGUAAGCGGAAUUCCUAGUGUAGCGGUGAAAUGCGUAGAUAUUAGGAGGAACACCAGUGGCGAAGGCGGCUUACUGGACUGUAACUGACGUUGAGGCUCGAAAGCGUGGGGAGCAAACAGGAUUAGAUACCCGGGUAGUC